This 253-nucleotide ribosomal RNA is filed under the name uncultured bacterium. RNAcentral's name for it is "partial 16S ribosomal RNA". It matches the Rfam family "Bacterial small subunit ribosomal RNA", at positions 524 to 776 of the family's 1533-position model. The record is from RNAcentral.
UACGUAGGGGGCAAGCGUUGUCCGGAUUUAUUGGGCGUAAAGAGCGUGUAGGCGGUUAGGUAGGUCCGUUGUGAAAACUCGAGGCUCAACCUCGAGACGCCGAUGGAAACCAUCUGACUAGAGUCCGGAAGAGGAGAGUGGAAUUCCUGGUGUAGCGGUGAAAUGCGCAGAUAUCAGGAGGAACACCGGUGGCGAAGGCGGCAUCCUGGACCAACACUGACACUGAGGAGCGAAAGCCGGGGGAGCAAACGGG